This is a long non-coding RNA of Egretta garzetta (little egret), 136 nucleotides long. RefSeq lists it as uncharacterized. The record is from RefSeq and is a predicted model, not a curated record. The transcript has 3 exons. Lineage: Eukaryota; Metazoa; Chordata; Aves; Pelecaniformes; Ardeidae.
CGAGCGCAGGCAGCGGGAGACGGUCCAGGCCGCCCUCCAGGUCGGUGAGACCUGCAAACAGAGACAGAGCUUUGCGCAGGACCUUCGGCCGGCAGCCCCCCGGCAGCCCCCGGAAGCUCUCCGAACACAAAUUCAG